RNAcentral lists this long non-coding RNA (452 nucleotides) under Prunus persica (peach). RNAcentral describes it as "long non-coding RNA (PPER_LNC007061)". The record is from RNAcentral. Lineage: Eukaryota; Viridiplantae; Streptophyta; Magnoliopsida; Rosales; Rosaceae.
UAAAAACACGAAUAUCCUGCGACAACUGAGACAAGAACAUGUGUACAAAAUAAUAUUUGUAUUGAUUUAUCAAGUGUAUACGUUAUAAUCUUUGUGGAUAUUCUUUUACAAAAAUAAAAGAAUUUUCUCUGAUUCUAUCUCCAAGAGUGUGUACGAAUCAUGGAUGCCAAGCACUUGAUCUUGAAUUGGAAUUUGGGACUUCGUCGAGGGUCGUGGCAGCUUGAUCUCAAUCACAUCAGGACCACGAGCAGUGUCACUUGAUGGAUAGUCUUCGGCUUUGGCGAUGAAGGAAUCGGCACAUGUUUGCUAUGCUUGGUAAUUCUCCACAAGCUUGAUGAAGAACUUGAGAGGCUAGGUGUUGUUUUGGAUAAAGAGCUUUCUGGUUUUCCAAUGUGUGUGCCUCUUUUUCUAAAGAUCCUUUCUCUCUAAUGAGAGCCUAAUAUUUAUAGGCC